This 789-nucleotide ribosomal RNA is filed under the name uncultured archaeon. Its description in RNAcentral is "bacterial SSU rRNA". It matches the Rfam family "Archaeal small subunit ribosomal RNA", at positions 85 to 879 of the family's 1478-position model. The record is from RNAcentral.
ACGGCUCAGUAACACGUGGACAACCUACCCUGAAGAGGGGGAUAACCCCGGGAAACUGGGGAUAAUACCCCAUGGACUAUGGAUGCUGGAAUGCUCUGUAGUUCAAAGGUCCGCCGCUUCAGGAUGGGUCUGCGGCCGAUUAGGUUGUUGUUGGGGUAACGGCCCAACAAGCCUGUAAUCGGUACGGGUUGUGGGAGCAAGAGCCCGGAGAUGGAUUCUGAGACACGAAUCCAGGCCCUACGGGGCGCAGCAGGCGCGAAAACUUUGCAAUGCGAGAAAUCGUGACAAGGGAACUCCGAGUGCCUGUAAAAUCAGGCUGUCCGCCAGUGUAAACAACUGGUGAAGAAAGGGCCGGGCAAGACCGGUGCCAGCCGCCGCGGUAAUACCGGCGGCUCGAGUGGUGGCCACUAUUACUGGGCUUAAAGCGUUCGUAGCUGGCUUGUUAAGUCUCUGGGGAAAUCUUCCGGCUUAACCGGAAGGCGUCUCAGGGAUACUGGCAGGCUAGGGACCGGAAGAGGUGAGAGGUACUCCGGGGGUAGGAGUGAAAUCCUGUAAUCCUUGGGGGACCACCUGUGGCGAAGGCGUCUCACCAGGACGGCUCCGACAGUGAGGAACGAAAGCUGGGGGAGCAAACCGGAUUAGAUACCCGGGUAGUCCCAGCUGUAAACGAUGCGCGUUAGGUGUAUCGGUGACCACGAGUCACCGAGGUGCCGAAGAGAAAUCGUGAAACGUGCCGCCUGGGAAGUACGGUCGCAAGGCUGAAACUUAAAGGAAUUGGCGGGGGAGCAC